GCUGGUGUAGCUCAACAGGAAGAGCAGCACAUUCGUAAUGUGCAGGUUAGCGGUUCAAAUCCGCUCACCAGCU
RNAcentral lists this transfer RNA (73 nucleotides) under Candidatus Stahliibacteriota bacterium. Its description in RNAcentral is "bacterium (Candidatus Stahlbacteria) tRNA-Thr". It matches the Rfam family "tRNA". From Rfam's summary of the family: Transfer RNA (tRNA) molecules are approximately 80 nucleotides in length. Their secondary structure includes four short double-helical elements and three loops (D, anti-codon, and T loops). Lineage: Bacteria; Candidatus Stahliibacteriota. The record is from RNAcentral. RNAcentral also lists the same sequence under 1 other name.